Molecule: ribosomal RNA, 146 nt
Filed under: Staphylococcus aureus
Lineage: Bacteria; Bacillati; Bacillota; Bacilli; Caryophanales; Staphylococcaceae
Description: partial 16S ribosomal RNA
Rfam family: Bacterial small subunit ribosomal RNA
Source: RNAcentral
UUUAUGGAGAGUUUGAUCCUGGCUCAGGAUGAACGCUGGCGGCGUGCCUAAUACAUGCAAGUCGAGCGAACGGAUGAGAAGCUUGCUUCUCUGAUGUUAGCGGCGGACGGGUGAGUAACACGUGGAUAACCUACCUAUAAGACUGG